AGUGAACGCUGGCGGUAGGCCUAACACAUGCAAGUCGAACGGCAGCACAGUAAGAGCUUGCUCUUACGGGUGGCGAGUGGCGGACGGGUGAGGAUUACAUCGGAAUCUACUUUUUCGUGGGGGAUAACGUAGGGAAACUUACGCUAAUACCGCAUACGACCUACGGGUGAAAGCAGGGGAUCUUCGGACCUUGCGCGAUUGAAUGAGCCGAUGUCGGAUUAGCUAGUUGGCGGGGUAAAGGCCCACCAAGGCGACGAUCCGUAGCUGGUCUGAGAGGAUGAUCAGCCACACUGGAACUGAGACACGGUCCCGACUCCUACGGGAGGCCGCAGUGGGGAAUAUUGGACAAUGGGCGCAAGCCUGAUCCAGCCAUACCGCGUGAGUGAAGAAGGCCUUCGGGUUGUAAAGCCCUUUUGUUGGGAAAGAAAAGCAGCAGGUUAAUACCCCGCUGUUCUGACGGUACCCAAAGAAUAAGCACCGGCUAACUUCGUG
RNAcentral lists this ribosomal RNA (492 nucleotides) under uncultured bacterium. RNAcentral describes it as "partial 16S ribosomal RNA". It matches the Rfam family "Bacterial small subunit ribosomal RNA", at positions 29 to 507 of the family's 1533-position model. The record is from RNAcentral.